UAGGGAAUCUUCCACAAUGGGCGCAGGCCUGAUGGAGCAACACCGCGUGAGUGAAGAAGGGUUUCGGCUCGUAAAGCUCUGUUGUUAAAGAAGAACACGUAUGAGAGUAACUGUUCAUACGUUGACGGUAUUUAACCAGAAAGUCACGGCUAACUACGUGCCCG
RNAcentral lists this ribosomal RNA (164 nucleotides) under uncultured bacterium. Its description in RNAcentral is "partial 16S rRNA". It matches the Rfam family "Bacterial small subunit ribosomal RNA", at positions 355 to 511 of the family's 1533-position model. The record is from RNAcentral.